UGGCCUUAUAGCAAUGUCGUCUGGUAUAGA
Molecule: non-coding RNA, 30 nt
Filed under: Cricetulus griseus (Chinese hamster)
Lineage: Eukaryota; Metazoa; Chordata; Mammalia; Rodentia; Cricetidae
Source: RNAcentral